GGAACAAUCUUGGCCUGGCGCAGAGGCUUCCAUUUUCAAGGGACAGGUUGGUGGAGAACUAUUUCUGGACUGUUGGCUGGGUUUUUGAGCCACAGUUUGGUAGAUGCAGGGAGCUGCACACGAAGGCAAACUGCUUUAUAGUAACAUUAGAUGAUGUGUAUGAUAUUUACGGCACCAUGAUGAGCUCGAGCUCUUCACGGAUGCUGUCGAUAGAUGGGAUGUUAAUGAAAUGGACAAACUUCCAGAGUAUAUGAGGAUAUGUUUUCUAGCCCUCUUCAACACUACAAAUGACAUCGCAUACAAUGUUCAGAAAGAGAAGGGACUGGACAUAAUUCCACACCUAAAAAAAGCAUGGGCAGAUCUAUUGAAGACAUUCACGGUGGAAGCGAGGUGGUACCACCAAGGCUACACACCCAAUCUUGGAGAGUACUUGGAGAACGCACUGGUAUCGGUAUCAGUUCCCCUAAUACUGACUCUUGCUUAUUGCACCAGUGACGAUUUAACUCAGGAGGCCUUGGAUGAUUUCCAAAGCUGCCCUGAGUUUGCAAGAUGGCCGUCCAUGAUUUUUCGACUUUGUGAUGAUUUGGGUACUUCCACGGACGAGCUUGAAAGAGGCGAUGUAUCCAAAUCUAUCCAGUGCUACAUGCAUGAGACCGGUGUGUCGGAGGACGCGGCUCGUAGGCAUAUCAGGGGAUUAAUCAAGGGGAAUUGGAGAGCAAUAAACGGAGAUCGAAGUUUCACUUCGCGUUUUGAGGAAAACCUAAAAAUGAUGGCCACCAAUAUCCCUCGAAUGGCCCAAUGCAUGUAUCAGUACGGAGACGGACUCGGUAAACCCGGCCAAGUAACGAACGACCGCAUCAGGUCUUUAUUACUUGAACCUAUACCGCUGUAACAAUUUAAUUAUGGAUAAUAUAGGGAAUCUGUACUCGAAAUUAGUCUCGUCAUGAAUUGUUCGAGUCUUCGAUUAGGUUUCUUUGGGUGUGAUCAGUCAAUUGAUGGUGUGAUUCU
This is a long non-coding RNA of Musa acuminata AAA Group (dessert banana), 1008 nucleotides long. RefSeq lists it as uncharacterized. The record is from RefSeq and is a predicted model, not a curated record. Lineage: Eukaryota; Viridiplantae; Streptophyta; Magnoliopsida; Zingiberales; Musaceae. The transcript is spliced from 4 exons.